AUUGAACGCUAGCGGGAGGCCUAACACAUGCAAGUCGAACGAGCGGCGGACGGGUGAGUAAUAUAUGGGAAUGUGCCCAGUAGAGGGGGAUAACUACUGGAAACAGUGGCUAAUACCGCAUACUAUCGGAGGGGCCGAUAUCGGAUUAGCUAGUUGGUGGGGUAAAGGCUCACCAAGGCAACGAUCCUUAGCUGGUUUGAGAGGAUGACCAGCCACACUGGGACUGAGACACGGCCCAGACUCCUACGGGAGGCAGCAGUGGGGAAUUUUGGACAAUGGGGGAAACCCUGAUCCAGCCAUCCCGCGUGUAUGAGAAGGCCUUCGGGUUGUAAAGUACUUUUGGCAGAGAAGCGGUAUCUGCAGAAUAAGCACCGGCUAACUACGUGCCAGCAGCCGCGGUAAUUC
Molecule: ribosomal RNA, 405 nt
Filed under: uncultured bacterium
Lineage: Bacteria
Description: partial 16S ribosomal RNA
Rfam family: Bacterial small subunit ribosomal RNA
Source: RNAcentral